GGGCUCCUGACUCCAGGUCCUGUGUGUUACCUCGAAAUAGCACUGGACUUGGAGUCAGAAGGCCU
Molecule: microRNA precursor, 65 nt
Organism: Dipodomys ordii (Ord's kangaroo rat)
Lineage: Eukaryota; Metazoa; Chordata; Mammalia; Rodentia; Heteromyidae
Rfam family: mir-378 microRNA precursor family
Source: Rfam